Molecule: long non-coding RNA, 339 nt
Organism: Larimichthys crocea (large yellow croaker)
Lineage: Eukaryota; Metazoa; Chordata; Actinopteri; Sciaenidae
Exons: 5
Source: RefSeq, a predicted model, not a curated record
CCUGUGAUCUUCACACAGGGCACAAUACACAACCUACUCACCUACCAGAACAACCAAAGUGACUGAGACAAUUGUUACCAGUGAUAAAGAUGCGGAGGACAAACUUUACGACACGCUCAUCCCGUCGUCUAUCAAGAAUGAUUACUCACCCACAGACAGCAAAAGAACCUACUCCACUACUGAGAUCGUGACGGUGAAAAGCAGCCCUGACACUGAUGCGGAGGACAAACUUUACGACACGCUCAUCCCGUCGUCUAUCAAGAAUGAUUACUCACCCACAGACAGCAAAACGACUGUCUCCAGCUCUGAGACUGUGACGGUGAAGAGCAGCCCUGAUGA